GUUGAAAUAGCUCAGUUGGGAGAGCGUUAGACUGAAGAUCUAAAGGUCCCUGGUUCGAUCCCGUGGUUGUAAAA
Molecule: non-coding RNA, 74 nt
Organism: Danio rerio (zebrafish)
Lineage: Eukaryota; Metazoa; Chordata; Actinopteri; Cypriniformes; Danionidae
Source: the annotation of a RefSeq genome assembly